This 460-nucleotide ribosomal RNA is filed under the name uncultured bacterium. RNAcentral describes it as "partial 16S ribosomal RNA". It matches the Rfam family "Bacterial small subunit ribosomal RNA", at positions 338 to 795 of the family's 1533-position model. The record is from RNAcentral.
CCUACGGGAGGCAGCAGUGAGGAAUAUUGGUCAAUGGGCUUACGCCUGAACCAGCCAAGUCGCGUGAGGGAAGACUGCCCUAUGGGUUGUAAACCUCUUUUGUCAGGGAGCAACGCCGGCUACGUGUAGCCGGACUGAGAGUACCUGAAGAAAAAGCAUCGGCUAACUCCGUGCCAGCAGCCGCGGUAAUACGGAGGAUGCGAGCGUUAUCCGGAUUGAUUGGGUUUAAUGGGUGCGUAGGCGGAAUGCCAAGUCAGCGGGAAAAGCGCGGGGCUCAACCUCGCUCCGCCGUUGAAACUGGCGUUCUUGAGUGGGCGAGAAGUAUGCGGAAUGCGUGGUGUAGCGGUGAAAUGCAUAGAUAUCGAGAAGAACACCGAUGGCGAAGGCAGCAUACCGGCGCCCAACUGACGCUGAAGCACGAAAGCGUGGGUAUCGAACAGGAUUAGAUACCCGAGUAGUC